This 319-nucleotide ribosomal RNA is filed under the name uncultured Glissomonadida. Its description in RNAcentral is "SSU rRNA". The stretch from base 102 to 319 matches the Rfam family "Eukaryotic small subunit ribosomal RNA", at positions 736 to 955 of the family's 1831-position model. RNAcentral also lists the same sequence under 1 other name. The record is from RNAcentral. Lineage: Eukaryota; Cercozoa; Glissomonadida.
GAUUUCUGGUUUGGCGCGCCUGGCCCGCCACGGUCACGUGUGUGAGUGCUGGGUCGCGCCUGCCAUCUUUCUGGUCAACUAUUCUUCCUUAACGGGUUGGAUAGGUAGCCAGAUCUUUUACUUUGAAAAAAUUAGAGUGUUUAAAGCAGGCGUUUGCUAUGAAUACAUUAGCAUGGAAUAAUAACUUAGGACUUCGGUUCUAUUUUGUUGGUUUCUAGGACUGAAGUAAUGAUUGAUAGGGAUAGUUGGGGGUGCUAGUAUUCAGCGGCCAGAGGUGAAAUUCUCGGAUUCGCUGAAGACUAACUUAUGCGAAAGCAUU